This is a long non-coding RNA of Hemicordylus capensis (graceful crag lizard), 315 nucleotides long. RefSeq lists it as uncharacterized. The record is from RefSeq and is a predicted model, not a curated record. NCBI's taxonomy places the organism in Eukaryota, Metazoa, Chordata, Lepidosauria, Squamata, Cordylidae. The transcript is spliced from 3 exons.
CAGGAUACAAAGCCACCUCACGCAUGAAAAUGAGAGUUGCCCCACCGUUCAGUGGUAUUUUCUCCUACUCACAGAAGACUGCCAUUCACUUGUUGCCAUUUCUGCUAAUGAUGACUUACUCAGCAGCAGGGAGCAGAAGAGGACCUUUGAUUGUGCUUGAUGGAUAUGAAGACAGUGCGAUCAAACUCAUCUGCACAUCUGGAGAGAGUCAAUCUCCUGAGUUCCAGCUAUCAUGGAUGGAUGGCAAAGGACAGGAACUUCCUGCUACUCCAGCCACCCUGGAAAGUGCCAGCAUGGCAAGUUCUGUUCUUCUAA